This 253-nucleotide ribosomal RNA is filed under the name uncultured bacterium. RNAcentral's name for it is "partial 16S ribosomal RNA". It matches the Rfam family "Bacterial small subunit ribosomal RNA", at positions 524 to 776 of the family's 1533-position model. The record is from RNAcentral.
GACGAACCGAGCGAACGUUGUUCGGAAUCAUUGGGCGUAAAGCGCGCGUAGGUGGCUUCGUAAGUCCGUUGUGAAAGUCAAAGGCUCAACCUUUGAAAGCCGAUGGAUACUGUGAAGCUAGAGUACGGAAGAGGCGAGUGGAAUUCCUGGUGUAGCGGUGGAAUGCGCAGAUAUCAGGAGGAGCACCAAUAGCGAAGGCAGCUCGCUGGGACGUUACUGACACUGAGGCGCGAAAGCGUGGGGAGCGAACAGG